UGGGGAAUUUUGGACAAUGGGGGAAACCCUGAUCCAGCCAUCCCGCGUGUGCGAUGAAGGCCUUCGGGUUGUAAAGCACUUUUGGCAGGAAAGAAAUUGCGCGUGCUAAUACCAUGCGUAGAUGACGGUACCUGCAGAAUAAGCACCGGCUAACUACGUGCCAGCAGCCGCGGUAAUACGUAGGGUGCAAGCGUUAAUCGGAAUUACUGGGCGUAAAGCGUGCGCAGGCGGUUCGGAAAGAAAGAUGUGAAAUCCCAGGGCUUAACCUUGGAACUGCAUUUUUAACUACCGGGCUAGAGUGUGUCAGAGGGGGGUGGAAUUCCGCGUGUAGCAGUGAAAUGCGUAGAGAUGCGGAGGAACACCGAUGGCGAAGGCAGCCCCCUGGGAUAACACUGACGCUCAUGCACGAAAGCGUGGGGAGCAAACAGGAUUAGAUACC
This 439-nucleotide ribosomal RNA is filed under the name uncultured bacterium. RNAcentral's name for it is "bacterial SSU rRNA". It matches the Rfam family "Bacterial small subunit ribosomal RNA", at positions 355 to 786 of the family's 1533-position model. The record is from RNAcentral.